Molecule: microRNA precursor, 200 nt
Filed under: Sorghum bicolor (sorghum)
Lineage: Eukaryota; Viridiplantae; Streptophyta; Magnoliopsida; Poales; Poaceae
Description: MIR1435 microRNA precursor family
Rfam family: MIR1435 microRNA precursor family
Source: Rfam by way of RNAcentral
UUAGUUACUCCUAAGCCAAACUUCUCUAACUGUAACAAUGUUUCUGUAAAAUGUAUUAACAUACACAGAUUCAAAAAAAUGCACUGUCAAAACCUAAUUUCAUGGGGAAUUUAAUGAAACUAAUUUGAUACUGUAAAUGUUCAUGCAUUUUUCUAUAAACUUGGUCGAAGUUAGAGAAUUUUGACUUAGGACAAAGCCAA